RNAcentral lists this unclassified non-coding RNA (252 nucleotides) under Hevea brasiliensis (rubber tree). Lineage: Eukaryota; Viridiplantae; Streptophyta; Magnoliopsida; Malpighiales; Euphorbiaceae. The record is from RNAcentral.
AUGAGCCAGACCCGGCCCAAAGCCGGGUUUUCGCCGUAAUCGGCAGCUUGAUCGCUUGAAUUACGCUAAAUGGUGGUGCUUGCGCACCCGUCGUGUUCAGGCGCAAUCUAGAUGCAAAUGAUCCGCCCCUUUUCAGGAGAUUUUUCGACCAUGUCCGAUGCGUUUCAAGCAUUGAGCCGCCGUCUGUUGCCGCUGGCCGCGGCUGUCGGCUUCGCCAUCGUAGCGACGCCGGCGCUGGCCCGCGGACCGGAA